RNAcentral lists this non-coding RNA (124 nucleotides) under Pseudozobellia thermophila. RNAcentral describes it as "SAM-I sequence". It matches the Rfam family "SAM riboswitch aptamer (S box leader)". From Rfam's summary of the family: The SAM riboswitch is found upstream of a number of genes which code for proteins involved in methionine or cysteine biosynthesis in Gram-positive bacteria. The SAM riboswitch acts at the level of transcription termination control. The predicted structure consists of a complex stem-loop region followed by a single stem loop terminator region. The record is from Rfam by way of RNAcentral. Lineage: Bacteria; Pseudomonadati; Bacteroidota; Flavobacteriia; Flavobacteriales; Flavobacteriaceae.
UAGUUAUCAAGAAAGGUGGAGGGAAUAGACCCUUUGAAGCCUUAGCAACCCUUUGUCCGAUCAAAUUGUCCGGGCGGAGAAGGUGCUACGUUCUAUCCCAAUGGCAUAUUGGGGCAGAUAACGC